UAAAAGAUUAAGCCAUGCAUGUCUAAGUVUACGCAAAUUAUACUGUGAAACUGCGAAUGGCUCAUUAAAUCAGUUAUAGUUUAUUUGAUGUUUCUUGCUACAUGGAUAACUGUGGUAAUUCUAGAGCUAAUACAUGCGUAAAAAGCCCCGACUUCUGGAAGGGGUGUAUUUAUUAGAUAAAAACCAUCCUCCUCGGAGUUUGGUGAUUCAUAAUAACUUCUCGAAUCGCACGGCCUUGUGCUGGCGAUGCUUCAUUCAAAUAUCUGCCCUAUCAACUGUCGAUGGUAGGAUAGAGGCCUACCAUGGUUGCAACGGGUAACGGGGAAUAAGGGUUCGAUUCCGGAGAGGGAGCCUGAGAAACGGCUACCACAUCCNRGGAAG
This 381-nucleotide ribosomal RNA is filed under the name uncultured fungus. RNAcentral describes it as "SSU rRNA". It matches the Rfam family "Eukaryotic small subunit ribosomal RNA", at positions 37 to 426 of the family's 1831-position model. The record is from RNAcentral. Lineage: Eukaryota; Fungi.